Molecule: ribosomal RNA, 274 nt
Filed under: uncultured bacterium
Lineage: Bacteria
Description: partial 16S ribosomal RNA
Rfam family: Bacterial small subunit ribosomal RNA
Source: RNAcentral
CUACGGAGGGUGCAAGCGUUACUCAGAAUCACUGGGCGUAAAGCGCGCGCAGGCGGGCUGAUAAGUUGGAUGUGAAAGCCUACGGCUCAACCGUAGAACUGCAUCCAAAACUGUCAGUCUAGAGUGUGGGAGAGGAAGAUGGAAUUAGUUGUGUAGGGGUAAAAUCCGUAGAGAUAACUAGGAAUACCAAAAGCGAAGGCAAUCUUCUGGAACACUACUGACGCUGAGGCGCGAAGGCGUGGGGAGCAAACAGAAUUAGAUACCCGAGUAGUCC